GAAUAAAUUUGAUGCUUUUGGAGCAAUUGAUAAUGGACUUGACCCUUGUGAGUAAAAAGCAACAAACUAUAAAAAAUAAAUUAUGCAAAACAUGUGUUAUACAUUUUGAAUACUUUAUAUUUCAUAUGUGAUUUCUUUAUUUUAAUAUUUUUGCUUUACAGUUGGACCAAUAGGUAAGUUAUUCUAAUUCGCGGUAGAGUUAAUAGGUUUCAUUUUAUUUAAAAUGAAAAUUAAUUUAUAAUUCGAUACUAGUGCAUCUGAAGCAUGUGUUACUACGAUAUAUAACUAGUAUGUGAGCAAGGAUAUUUGCUA
Molecule: non-coding RNA, 312 nt
Organism: Parasteatoda tepidariorum (common house spider)
Lineage: Eukaryota; Metazoa; Arthropoda; Arachnida; Araneae; Theridiidae
Source: RefSeq, a predicted model, not a curated record